AGCAAAUGGCUAAACAAUUUUUCCCUUCAAGGUAGACCACUCCUUUCCAUUCGAAACCAUUUAUUAUCCGAGUGUUGUUCAUGUUUGGUUAACUUGCAUUUUAAAUUGGUUCUGGCUUCUGACAUACUGUAAUCACCAAAUGUUAGAACUAAGGGAUGUUGUUGGGAGACAUAUGUAACACUUGUGCUCUGUCUCCUCAGCUGGAACGACGAAGAACUGGAUUGCAUGGCCGGCAACGGCAGCUAUGAAGAUUCCAAGCUUGUAGGGACAUGACAGAGAUAAUAGAUAUGCAAGCAAAAGGCAAAACAAAUUCAGACAGGCCUGUCUAUGAUCUCUGUCAUGACCCUUUGAGCAAAAUAAAUAAGUACUACACGGGUGAAAACUAUCAGUUUCCCCUUCUUGUCAUGAUAUAUAUUAUUCAAAAUUAUUGUCUUUAGAAGUUG
This 443-nucleotide long non-coding RNA is filed under the name Gossypium barbadense (sea-island cotton). RNAcentral's name for it is "long non-coding RNA (GBAR_LNC021379)". Lineage: Eukaryota; Viridiplantae; Streptophyta; Magnoliopsida; Malvales; Malvaceae. The record is from RNAcentral.